CCUCGCCUUUAUUACCAUCAUUUAGUUGGGUACUCUAAAGGAACCGCCGGUGAUAAGCCGGAGGAAGGUGGGGAUGACGUCAAGUCCUCAUGGUCCUUACGCGCUGGGCUACACACGUGCUACAAUNGCGGUGACAGUGGGCAGCAAUCCCGCGAGGGUGAGCUAAUCUCCAAAANCCGUCUCAGUUCGGAUUGUUCUCUGCAACUCGAGAGCAUNAAGGCGGAAUCGCUAGUAAUCGCGGAUCAGCAUGCCGCGGUGAAUACGUUCCCAGGCCUUGUACACACCGCCCGUCACACCAUGGGAGUUGGUUUCACCCGAAGGCGUUGCGCUGACCGCAAGGANGGCUAGGCGACCACGGUGGGAUCUAGCGANUGGGGUGCCGUCGUAACAAGGUAGCCGUACGGGGAACCUG
Molecule: ribosomal RNA, 412 nt
Filed under: Sphingomonas sp. 1164a
Lineage: Bacteria; Pseudomonadati; Pseudomonadota; Alphaproteobacteria; Sphingomonadales; Sphingomonadaceae
Description: bacterial SSU rRNA
Rfam family: Bacterial small subunit ribosomal RNA
Source: RNAcentral